Molecule: ribosomal RNA, 497 nt
Filed under: uncultured bacterium
Lineage: Bacteria
Description: partial 16S ribosomal RNA
Rfam family: Bacterial small subunit ribosomal RNA
Source: RNAcentral
GAUGAACGCUGGCGGCGUGCCUAAUACAUGCAAGUCGAGCGAACAGACGAGGAGCUUGCUCCUCUGACGUUAGCGGCGGACGGGUGAGUAACACGUGGAUAACCUACCUAUAAGACUGGGAUAACUUCGGGAAACCGGAGCUAAUACCGGAUAAUAUAUUGAACCGCAUGGUUCAAUAGUGAAAGACGGUUUUGCUGUCACUUAUAGAUGGAUCCGCGCCGCAUUAGCUAGUUGGUAAGGUAACGGCUUACCAAGGCCACGAUGCGUAGCCGACCUGAGAGGGUGAUCGGCCACACUGGAACUGAGACACGGUCCAGACUCCUACGGGAGGCAGCAGUAGGGAAUCUUCCGCAAUGGGCGAAAGCCUGACGGAGCAACGCCGCGUGAGUGAUGAAGGUCUUCGGAUCGUAAAACUCUGUUAUUAGGGAAGAACAAAUGUGUAAGUAACUAUGCACAUCUUGACGGUACCUAAUCAGAAAGCCACGGCUAACUACGUG